Molecule: ribosomal RNA, 478 nt
Filed under: Bacillus sp. D-24-25-4
Lineage: Bacteria; Bacillati; Bacillota; Bacilli; Caryophanales; Bacillaceae
Description: bacterial SSU rRNA
Rfam family: Bacterial small subunit ribosomal RNA
Source: RNAcentral
AGAGUUUGAUCCUGGCUCAGGAUGAACGCUGGCGGCGUGCCUAAUACAUGCAAGUCGAGCGAACUGAUUAGAAGCUUGCUUCUAUGACGUUAGCGGCGGACGGGUGAGUAACACGUGGGCAACCUGCCUGUAAGACUGGGAUAACUUCGGGAAACCGAAGCUAAUACCGGAUAGGAUCUUCUCCUUCAUGGGAGAUGAUUGAAAGAUGGUUUCGGCUAUCACUUACAGAUGGGCCCGCGGUGCAUUAGCUAGUUGGUGAGGUAACGGCUCACCAAGGCAACGAUGCAUAGCCGGCCUGAGAGGGUGAUCGGCCACACUGGGACUGAGACACGGCCCAGACUCCUACGGGAGGCAGCAGUAGGGAAUCUUCCGCAAUGGACGAAAGUCUGACGGAGCAACGCCGCGUGAGUGAUGAAGGCUUUCGGGUCGUAAAACUCUGUUGUUAGGGAAGAACAAGUACAAGAGUAACUGAUUGUAC